RNAcentral lists this ribosomal RNA (193 nucleotides) under uncultured eukaryote. Its description in RNAcentral is "partial 18S ribosomal RNA". It matches the Rfam family "Eukaryotic small subunit ribosomal RNA", at positions 1 to 204 of the family's 1831-position model. The record is from RNAcentral.
CAACCUGGUUGAUCCUGCCAGUUAGUCAUACGCUCGUCUCAAAGAUUAAGCCAUGCAUGUCUAAGUAUAAAUCUCUUACUUUGAAACUGCGAACGGCUCAUUAUAUCAGUUAUAGUUUAUUUGAUAGUCCCUUACUACUUGGAUAACCGUAGUAAUUCUAGAGCUAAUACAUGCGUCAACACCUUUGGGUGGU